UAAGGAGACAAGUAGAGAAUGAAGUCCAAGACAAAAUGGAAGACCAGAUCACAUAAGACAUGGUAAUACUUUCAAUUUUAUCUUAUCGAUUAACUGUCAAAAGAGACAGAAAGAGCACAUUCCUACUGAGAUGAAGCGUAUCAUUGUCCGUGAUGGAUCACAUAUCAUACUGCAGAGAGCUGCUCUGAAAUGCCAAUAUUGGAAGACAGGAUGACAUCCACAUUUUCUAUUAUAAGAUGAUAAGAACUAAAUCUCGGUAUGUACCAAUACAGAAUGAAUCACCUUCCACUGAACCCUGGAGGGUAAAAAGCAAAAGGUCUUUUUGUUUUCCUAAAAAGAAACCAAGAAGUUGAAACCUGUUUAAUGUUUUCACUACUUCCAACUGAAUUUCUUUUACAUUUUUGAGCUUCGAUACAAAAAAAAUGUAUAAACUCUGGAACUUUAAAACAAAGAGCCUCAUGUGGUCAAGCUCCCAUUCAAGCUGACUUCACAACUAUGAGUUUCAAUUGGU
Molecule: long non-coding RNA, 511 nt
Organism: Hyaena hyaena (striped hyena)
Lineage: Eukaryota; Metazoa; Chordata; Mammalia; Carnivora; Hyaenidae
Exons: 3
Source: RefSeq, a predicted model, not a curated record